This is a non-coding RNA of Chrysemys picta bellii (western painted turtle), 545 nucleotides long. The record is from RefSeq and is a predicted model, not a curated record. Lineage: Eukaryota; Metazoa; Chordata; Testudines; Emydidae.
UAGUCAAACCAAAGGCAAUACAAGUUACAGUGCUGAGAUUACAUUUGCAAAGCUUAACUGUCCAGUGAGAUCCAACAGUCUGCCUUUGCGACCCUGGAGCCGGCGUGGUUUGGGGACGCUGAAGAAGCCACAGGCAGCCGGCCUGGACUGGAAUCACUGAAAAGACGCCCCAGAAGACCUCAGGGUGUAAAAGAACUGCCCUCCCAAGAGAAGAAGCAAGUUGGAGAUUGCACAGCACCUUCUCUGAACGUUAUACACAGACGUGGCCAGUCUGACAUAAAAGAAGUGCUACCCAAAGACCCUAGCAGCCCUGCCAUUCAUUGAAACAAGGAGACUGAGCCUAUGUAAAGUCCAUCAACGAAAGACUGCUUUGGCUCCACACUGGAAAGGCCCUUUCCAAGUCCUGUUAACCACCAACAUGGCUGUGAAGAGCCAAAGACUACCUGUUGUCAGAUGCUACUGGUGUGGUGCUUCUGCUUUCUCCUGUUGAUAUCACUCGGCUGCGUGCAUGUGUUCCCUCUGUGUGCUGCCCCAGCUCUGCGCAG